CCUUGGUGGUGUAGUGGAUUAGUAUAGUGUUAGGAACUUACAGGCCUGGGUUCAAUUCCCACUCAACAGGA
Molecule: non-coding RNA, 71 nt
Organism: Teladorsagia circumcincta
Lineage: Eukaryota; Metazoa; Nematoda; Chromadorea; Rhabditida; Trichostrongylidae
Source: the annotation of a GenBank genome assembly